Molecule: ribosomal RNA, 1009 nt
Filed under: Listeria monocytogenes
Lineage: Bacteria; Bacillati; Bacillota; Bacilli; Caryophanales; Listeriaceae
Description: partial 23S ribosomal RNA
Rfam family: Bacterial large subunit ribosomal RNA
Source: RNAcentral
CCCAGUAAACGGCGGCCGUAACUAUAACGGUCCUAAGGUAGCGAAAUUCCUUGUCGGGUAAGUUCCGACCCGCACGAAAGGCGCAACGAUCUGGGCACUGUCUCAACGAGAGACUCGGUGAAAUUAUAGUACCUGUGAAGAUGCAGGUUACCCGCGACAGGACGGAAAGACCCCGUGGAGCUUUACUGCAACCUGAUAUGGAAUGUUUGUACCGCUUGUACAGGAUAGGUAGGAGCCGAAGAGACGUGUGCGCUAGCAUACGAGGAGGCAAUGGUGGGAUACUACCCUGGCUGUAUGACCAUUCUAACCCGCCACGCUUAGCGCGUGGGGAGACAGUGUCAGGUGGGCAGUUUGACUGGGGCGGUCGCCUCCUAAAGAGUAACGGAGGCGCCCAAAGGUUCCCUCAGAAUGGAUGGAAAUCAUUCGCAGAGUGUAAAGGCACAAGGGAGCUUGACUGCGAGACUGACAAGUCGAGCAGGGACGAAAGUCGGGCUUAGUGAUCCGGUGGUUCCGCAUGGAAGGGCCAUCGCUCAACGGAUAAAAGCUACCCCGGGGAUAACAGGCUUAUCUCCCCCAAGAGUCCACAUCGACGGGGAGGUUUGGCACCUCGAUGUCGGCUCGUCGCAUCCUGGGGCUGUAGUCGGUCCCAAGGGUUGGGCUGUUCGCCCAUUAAAGCGGCACGCGAGCUGGGUUCAGAACGUCGUGAGACAGUUCGGUCCCUAUCCGUCGCGGGCGCAGGAAAUUUGAGAGGAGCUGUCCUUAGUACGAGAGGACCGGGAUGGACACACCGCUGGUGUACCAGUUGUUCCGCCAGGAGCAUCGCUGGGUAGCUAUGUGUGGCAGGGAUAAACGCUGAAAGCAUCUAAGCGUGAAGCCCCCCUCAAGAUGAGAUUUCCCAUUUCUUCGGAAAGUAAGAUCCCUGAAAGAUGAUCAGGUAGAUAGGUUUGGAGUGGAAGUGUAGCGAUACAUGGAGCGGACAAAUACUAAUCGAUCGAGGACUUAACCAAAA